UACGUAGGGUGCGAGCGUUAAUCGGAAUUACUGGGCGUAAAGCGUGCGCAGGCGGUUUUGUAAGCCAGAUGUGAAAUCCCCGGGCUUAACCUGGGAACGGCAUUUGGGACUGCAAGGCUGGAGUGCGGCAGAGGAGACUGGAAUUCCGGGUGUAGCAGUGAAAUGCGUAGAUAUCAGGAGGAAUACCGAUGGCGAAGGCAGGUCUCUGGGCUGACACUGACGCUCAUGCACGAAAGCGUGGGGAGCAAACAGG
RNAcentral lists this ribosomal RNA (253 nucleotides) under uncultured bacterium. RNAcentral's name for it is "partial 16S ribosomal RNA". It matches the Rfam family "Bacterial small subunit ribosomal RNA", at positions 524 to 776 of the family's 1533-position model. The record is from RNAcentral.